Molecule: ribosomal RNA, 403 nt
Filed under: uncultured bacterium
Lineage: Bacteria
Description: partial 16S ribosomal RNA
Rfam family: Bacterial small subunit ribosomal RNA
Source: RNAcentral
AUUGAACGCUGGCGGCAGGCCUAACACAUGCAAGUCGAGCGAGCGGCGGACGGGUGAGUAAUGUAUGGGGACUGCCCGAUAGAGGGGGAUAACUACAGGAAACGGUAGCUAAUACCGCAUACUAUGGGAUAACCCAUAUGGGAUUAGCUAGUUGGUGAGGUAAUGGCGCACCAAGGCGACGAUCCCUAGCUGGUCUGAGAGGAUGAUCAGCCCCACUGGGACGGAGACCCGGCCCAGACUCCUACGGAGGCAGCAGUGGGGAAUCUUGCACAAUGGGCGCAAGUCUGAUGAAGCCAUGCCGCGUGAAUUAAGAAGGCCUUCGGGUUGUAAAGUUCUUUCGGUAGCUAGGCGUUAACUACAGAAGAAGCACCGGCUAACUCCGUGCCAGCAGCCGCGGUAAUAC